This 323-nucleotide long non-coding RNA is filed under the name Vitis vinifera (wine grape). RNAcentral describes it as "long non-coding RNA (VVIN_LNC008270)". The record is from RNAcentral. Lineage: Eukaryota; Viridiplantae; Streptophyta; Magnoliopsida; Vitales; Vitaceae.
UGAAUUUUACAAGACAUGUUUCUGACAUGAAUACAUAUUCCAUAGUUCAUUUUUCUCAGAGGUUCUAUUAUAGUAAGAUUCAGAGACUGCACUAGUGCUCUGUUUGCAUAAUCUGUUAACCAUUUUAUUUUUCCCUUGCACUUUUUGGUACAGAAUAUAGCUUGCUAUUUUAUCAUCAAGAACAUGUGAUCUGAUUGGGGCUUGGAGCUUUCUAAUUGAAAUAUCUAACUCCCUUUCAUUCAGGUUGACAUUAUUGGAGUUGGUUGUUAUUCUUCCAAGGACUUGUGGGCAUGGAAAUUUGAGGGCAUCGUGCUGGCUGCAGA